Molecule: ribosomal RNA, 305 nt
Filed under: uncultured bacterium
Lineage: Bacteria
Description: bacterial SSU rRNA
Rfam family: Bacterial small subunit ribosomal RNA
Source: RNAcentral
GCCUACGGGGCGCAGCAGUGGGGAAUAUUGGUCAAUGGGCGAGAGCCUGAACCAGCCAAGUCGCGUGAGGGAAGACGGUCCUAUGGAUUGUAAACCUCUUUUGUCGGGGAGCAAAAAGGCCUCGUGAGGCCACAAGCGAGAGUACCCGAAGAAAAAGCAUCGGCUAACUCCGUGCCAGCAGCCGCGGUAAUACGGAGGAUGCGAGCGUUAUCCGGAUUUAUUGGGGUUAAAGGGUGCGUAGGCGGACUGGAAAGUCAGCGGUAACAUCGAGAGGCUCAACCUCUUUCCGCCGUUGGAGAUGUUGG